RNAcentral lists this non-coding RNA (186 nucleotides) under Vibrio harveyi. RNAcentral's name for it is "6S RNA". It matches the Rfam family "6S / SsrS RNA". Rfam says of the family: E. coli 6S RNA was the first non coding RNA to be sequenced, but its function was unknown until recently. It consists of 184 nucleotides that fold into an extended hairpin structure with a large single-stranded internal bulge. Lineage: Bacteria; Pseudomonadati; Pseudomonadota; Gammaproteobacteria; Vibrionales; Vibrionaceae. The record is from RNAcentral.
UUUACCCUAGGGUGUGCGUCAGUUGGAUUUAAGUCCCUGAGCCGAUAAGCAAUACCAAAGGGUUAGUACUUGAUAGCUAUUGAGCAAGCUUGGCAUGCACCGAGAAGCCUACGGUUAUCAUUGCUGAUCCGCCUUGAACCAGCUGGUUCAAGGGUACCACAAUCCUCAACGGCACCUAGGGUAUCC